GACGAACGCUGGCGGCGUGCUUAACACAUGCAAGUCGAACGGAAAGGCCCUGCUUUUGUGGGGUGCUCGAGUGGCGAACGGGUGAGUAACACGUGAGUAACCUGCCCUUGACUUUGGGAGAACUUCAGGAAGCUGGGGCUAAUACCGGAUAGGAGCUCCUGCUGCAUGGUGGGGGUUGGAAAGUUUCGGCGGUUGGGGAUGGACUCGAGGGUUACGAGCUUGUUGGGGGGGUAGUGGCUUACCAAGGCUUUGACGGGUAGCCGGCCUGAGAGGGUGACCGGCCACAUUGGGACUAAGAUACGGCCCAGACUCCUACGGGAGGCAGUAGUGGGGAAUAUUGCACAAUGGGCGGAAGCCUGAUGCAGCAACGCCGCGUGCGGGAUGACGGCCUUCGGGUUGUAAACCGCUUUCGCCUGUGACGAAGCGUGAGUGACGGUACUGGGUAAAGAAGCACCGGCUAACUACGUG
Molecule: ribosomal RNA, 468 nt
Filed under: uncultured bacterium
Lineage: Bacteria
Description: partial 16S ribosomal RNA
Rfam family: Bacterial small subunit ribosomal RNA
Source: RNAcentral